This 390-nucleotide RNase P RNA is filed under the name Acidobacteriota bacterium. RNAcentral's name for it is "Acidobacteria bacterium RNase P RNA component class A". It matches the Rfam family "Bacterial RNase P class A". From Rfam's summary of the family: Ribonuclease P (RNase P) is a ubiquitous endoribonuclease, found in archaea, bacteria and eukarya as well as chloroplasts and mitochondria. Lineage: Bacteria; Pseudomonadati; Acidobacteriota. The record is from RNAcentral.
GAAGCGCGUUGGGCGGUCGCUCCAUAUUAUUGGGGAGGAAAGUCCGAACACCAAUGGGCAGCGAGCCGGAUAACGUCCGGGUCCCGAAUUUUCGGGAACGACAAGUGCAACAGAGAAGAGACCAGCCCUGAUUCGUUGGGGUGAUGGGUGAAACGGUGAGGUAAGAGCUCACCGGCGUCGUUGGUAACAAUGACGGCCAGGCAAACUCCUCGUGGUGCAAGGCCAAAUAGGGAAGCGAAAUCUCAGCAGCCCAGCUGAAAACGCGUUUUUGGACGCCGCAUCGCUUUCGGGUAGGCCGCUUGAGCGUGACGGUAACGUUACGCCCAGAUGAAUGAUCGCCGUCCCGGCUUGUCCGGGAUACAGGAUUCGGCUUAUAGACGCGCUUCACAC